RNAcentral lists this ribosomal RNA (505 nucleotides) under uncultured bacterium. Its description in RNAcentral is "bacterial SSU rRNA". It matches the Rfam family "Bacterial small subunit ribosomal RNA", at positions 791 to 1301 of the family's 1533-position model. The record is from RNAcentral.
UAGUCCACGCCGUAAACGAUGGUUACUAGCUGUUCGGACUUCGGUCUGAGUGGUUAAGCGAAAGUGAUAAGUAACCCACCUGGGGAGUACGUUCGCAAGAAUGAAACUCAAAGGAAUUGACGGGGGCCCGCACAAGCGGUGGAGCAUGUGGUUUAAUUCGAUGAUACGCGAGGAACCUUACCUAGGCUCUAAUGCUAUUGGCCAGCUGCUGAAAGGUGGUUUUCCUUCGGGACUGAUAGCAAGGUGCUGCAUGGUUGUCGUCAGCUCGUGCCGUGAGGUGUUGGGUUAAGUCCCGCAACGAGCGCAACCCCCAUUCCUAGUUGCCAUCAUUAAGUUGGGGACUCUAGGGAGACUGCCUCCGUAAGGAGUGAGGAAGGCGGGGAUGACGUCAAAUCAUCAUGGCCUUUAUGCCUAGGGCGACACACGUGCUACAAUGGCAGGUACAGAGGGCAGCUAAGCCGCGAGGUGGAGCCAAUCCCAGAAAGCCUGUCCCAGUUCGGAUUGG